Molecule: ribosomal RNA, 475 nt
Filed under: uncultured bacterium
Lineage: Bacteria
Description: bacterial SSU rRNA
Rfam family: Bacterial small subunit ribosomal RNA
Source: RNAcentral
ACUCCUACGGGAGGCAGCAGUGGGGAAUAUUGCACAAUGGGCGCAAGCCUGAUGCAGCCAUGCCGCGUGUGUGAAGAAGGCCUUCGGGUUGUAAAGCACUUUCAGUCGUGAGGAAGGUAGUGUAGUUAAUAGCUGCAUUAUUUGACGUUAGCGACAGAAAGAAGCACCGGCUAACUCCGUGCCAGCAGCCGCGGUAAUACGGAGGGUGCGAGCGUUAAUCGGAAUUACUGGGCGUAAAGCGCAUGCAGGUGGUUUGUUAAGUCAGAUGUGAAAGCCCGGGGCUCAACCUCGGAAUAGCAUUUGAAACUGGCAGACUAGAGUACUGUAGAGGGGGGUAGAAUUUCAGGUGUAGCGGUGAAAUGCGUAGAGAUCUGAAGGAAUACCGGUGGCGAAGGCGGCCCCCUGGAACAGAUACUGACACUCAGAUGCGAAAGCGUGGGGAGCAAACAGGAUUAGAUACCCUGGUAGGAUAGCG